This 22-nucleotide non-coding RNA is filed under the name Arabidopsis thaliana (thale cress). Lineage: Eukaryota; Viridiplantae; Streptophyta; Magnoliopsida; Brassicales; Brassicaceae. The record is from RNAcentral.
GGACCCUGUGCUAUGCUCCAAA